RNAcentral lists this ribosomal RNA (518 nucleotides) under Trigonopterus monteithi. RNAcentral describes it as "partial 16S ribosomal RNA". The record is from RNAcentral. Lineage: Eukaryota; Metazoa; Arthropoda; Insecta; Coleoptera; Curculionidae.
ACCUGGCUUACGCCGGUCUAAACUCAGAUCAUGUAAAAAUUCAAAGGUCGAACAGACCUAAUUUAUCAGCUUCUGCGCCAAAAAUUAAUUUUAAUCCAACAUCGAGGUCGCAAUCUUCUUUUUCGAUUUGAGCUCUAAAAAAAAAUAACGCUGUUAUCCCUAAGGUAAUUUUAUCUUUUAAUCUUCAAUUAAGGAUCAACUAAUCACAUAUAAGUGUGUACAUAAAAGAAAAGUUUAGUGCAUUUUCCAAUCACCCCAACUAAACACGUGCCCAAGAAAAACUAAUCUGUUACUAAUCUUAGUUAAACAAAGACAAAUGUAAAACUCUAUAGGGUCUUCUCGUCUUCAAUAACAAUUUAAGCUUUUUAACUUAAAAAUAAAUUUCAAAUAAAUUUUAACAGAGACAGAAAUUUUCUCAUCAAACCUUUCAUACAAGCUUUCAAUUAAAAAACUAGUGAUUAUGCUACCUUUGCACGGUCAAGAUACCGCGGCCAUUAAAUUUAAUCAUUGGGCAGGCC